GUGGGGAAUCUUCCGCAAUGGACGAAAGUCUGACGGAGCAACGCCGCGUGAGUGAUGAAGGUCUUCGGAUUGUAAAGCUCUGUUAAUCGGGACGAAAGAGCCUAGUGUGAAUAAUGCUAGGAAGUGACGGUACCGGAAUAGAAAGCCACGGCUAACUACGUGCCAGCAGCCGCGGUAAUACGUAGGUGGCAAGCGUUGUCCGGAAUUAUUGGGCGUAAAGCGAGCGCAGGCGGAUCUGUCAGUCUGUCUUAAAAGUUCGGGGCUUAACCCCGUGAUGGGAUGGAAACUACAGAUCUAGAGUAUCGGAGAGGAAAGUGGAAUUCCUAGUGUAGCGGUGAAAUGCGUAGAUAUUAGGAAGAACACCAGUGGCGAAGGCGACUUUCUGGACGAAAACUGACGCUGAGGCGCGAAAGCCAGGGGAGCGAACGGGAUUAGAUACCCUUGUAGUCC
This 450-nucleotide ribosomal RNA is filed under the name uncultured bacterium. RNAcentral describes it as "partial 16S ribosomal RNA". It matches the Rfam family "Bacterial small subunit ribosomal RNA", at positions 354 to 796 of the family's 1533-position model. The record is from RNAcentral.